This is a long non-coding RNA of Bos taurus (domestic cattle), 487 nucleotides long. NCBI's taxonomy places the organism in Eukaryota, Metazoa, Chordata, Mammalia, Artiodactyla, Bovidae. The record is from Ensembl.
CUGUGCUGCCGGCCGCUGUUCCGGGCCAGCCCAUCAUCACGGGCAAUGGACCUCAGAUUCCGUCUCUCGUCCCUGGGGCUGAUCACAAAGGGCCCCUCCUCGGGUUCCUGCCUGCUUUCUCCUCCCCAGUUUUGGCUUCCCUGCUCUGCCUUCUGCUUUGCCCAAGGUUUCUCUGCGUUCCUCAUUGAACAGCUGAAGCUGAAGCUCCAGUACUUUGGCCACCUGAUGCAAAGAGCCGACUCAUUGGAAAAGACCCUGAUGCUGGGAAAGAUUGAGGGCAGGAGGAGAAGUGGGUGACAGAGGCUGAGACAGUUGGAUGGCAUCACCAAAUCAAUGGACAUUGAGUUUGAGCAAACUCUCAGAGAUGACUGUUAGUGACUAACAUCCAGCUGAAGACUAGCAGGGGGGUACUCUUUCUGCCCCCUUCUGAUGCCUAUGUCAGAAGCUUUCUCUAUCUCCUUUAUACUUUAAUAAAACUUUAUUACAC